RNAcentral lists this ribosomal RNA (1477 nucleotides) under Lacticaseibacillus rhamnosus. RNAcentral describes it as "bacterial SSU rRNA". It matches the Rfam family "Bacterial small subunit ribosomal RNA". Lineage: Bacteria; Bacillati; Bacillota; Bacilli; Lactobacillales; Lactobacillaceae. The record is from RNAcentral.
GGCGGGGGGGGGUGCUAAUACAUGCAAGUCGAACGAGUUCUGAUUAUUGAAAGGUGCUUGCAUCUUGAUUUAAUUUUGAACGAGUGGCGGACGGGUGAGUAACACGUGGGUAACCUGCCCUUAAGUGGGGGAUAACAUUUGGAAACAGAUGCUAAUACCGCAUAAAUCCAAGAACCGCAUGGUUCUUGGCUGAAAGAUGGCGUAAGCUAUCGCUUUUGGAUGGACCCGCGGCGUAUUAGCUAGUUGGUGAGGUAACGGCUCACCAAGGCAAUGAUACGUAGCCGAACUGAGAGGUUGAUCGGCCACAUUGGGACUGAGACACGGCCCAAACUCCUACGGGAGGCAGCAGUAGGGAAUCUUCCACAAUGGACGCAAGUCUGAUGGAGCAACGCCGCGUGAGUGAAGAAGGCUUUCGGGUCGUAAAACUCUGUUGUUGGAGAAGAAUGGUCGGCAGAGUAACUGUUGUCGGCGUGACGGUAUCCAACCAGAAAGCCACGGCUAACUACGUGCCAGCAGCCGCGGUAAUACGUAGGUGGCAAGCGUUAUCCGGAUUUAUUGGGCGUAAAGCGAGCGCAGGCGGUUUUUUAAGUCUGAUGUGAAAGCCCUCGGCUUAACCGAGGAAGUGCAUCGGAAACUGGGAAACUUGAGUGCAGAAGAGGACAGUGGAACUCCAUGUGUAGCGGUGAAAUGCGUAGAUAUAUGGAAGAACACCAGUGGCGAAGGCGGCUGUCUGGUCUGUAACUGACGCUGAGGCUCGAAAGCAUGGGUAGCGAACAGGAUUAGAUACCCUGGUAGUCCAUGCCGUAAACGAUGAAUGCUAGGUGUUGGAGGGUUUCCGCCCUUCAGUGCCGCAGCUAACGCAUUAAGCAUUCCGCCUGGGGAGUACGACCGCAAGGUUGAAACUCAAAGGAAUUGACGGGGGCCCGCACAAGCGGUGGAGCAUGUGGUUUAAUUCGAAGCAACGCGAAGAACCUUACCAGGUCUUGACAUCUUUUGAUCACCUGAGAGAUCAGGUUUCCCCUUCGGGGGCAAAAUGACAGGUGGUGCAUGGUUGUCGUCAGCUCGUGUCGUGAGAUGUUGGGUUAAGUCCCGCAACGAGCGCAACCCUUAUGACUAGUUGCCAGCAUUUAGUUGGGCACUCUAGUAAGACUGCCGGUGACAAACCGGAGGAAGGUGGGGAUGACGUCAAAUCAUCAUGCCCCUUAUGACCUGGGCUACACACGUGCUACAAUGGAUGGUACAACGAGUUGCGAGACCGCGAGGUCAAGCUAAUCUCUUAAAGCCAUUCUCAGUUCGGACUGUAGGCUGCAACUCGCCUACACGAAGUCGGAAUCGCUAGUAAUCGCGGAUCAGCACGCCGCGGUGAAUACGUUCCCGGGCCUUGUACACACCGCCCGUCACACCAUGAGAGUUUGUAACACCCGAAGCCGGUGGCGUAACCCUUUUAGGGAGCGAGCCGUCUAAGGUGGACCAAAAU